This 581-nucleotide long non-coding RNA is filed under the name Ornithorhynchus anatinus (platypus). RNAcentral's name for it is "lncRNA (ENSOANG00000040743.1)". Lineage: Eukaryota; Metazoa; Chordata; Mammalia; Monotremata; Ornithorhynchidae. The record is from RNAcentral.
AGUUAACUACCUGUGGUGUUAAAUGAGGCCAGCACCUGGGAAAGAGCCCAGCUGACAACCCUGGAGACUUCUCUCCAGUUUUGGGAGCGGCAGAGCUAGAGAUUGGUGAUUAGAAACAGGAACCUGGCAAGGAGGAGGGAAUAACUUCAGCAGUGCCUUCAGCUCACUCUGCUCACCUGGCCCAACAGCUCUGCCUCAGCCCAACAAACCAUGGUGACCUCUGUUCCAAUCGAACCAGCUGGCUCAGAGGUUAUUCAUUUGGACCAUGAAGAACAGGACUGAGGGAAUUCCUGCGAGCCCCUUGUUCUUCUCACCUCUGCUGCAACAGUCUCCCCAAAAUAGAGCUGCCUGACUUGGCUGGGUCGAUCAAGAGAAUGUGCUGAUGUCAGCAUGCCUGGGGCAGGCUCAGAGGCAGUGCAGCCCGUGGCCAAUGGUUGGAGCGUGAAGGCAAUCCACCCACAGUGAGUGUGCGAGAGUCACUGAGGGUGGGGCAUGGCACGAUUCUCCUCUGACCACACUUGCCCAGUGUAGGCAUGCUGCCAAGCCACUUCCAAGCCACAGUAGCAAAGGGAAGUGGAGAA